This 497-nucleotide ribosomal RNA is filed under the name uncultured bacterium. RNAcentral's name for it is "partial 16S ribosomal RNA". It matches the Rfam family "Bacterial small subunit ribosomal RNA", at positions 28 to 507 of the family's 1533-position model. The record is from RNAcentral.
GACGAACGCUGGCGGCGUGCCUAAUACAUGCAAGUUGAGCGCUGAAGGUUGGUACUUGUACCGACUGGAUGAGCGGCGAACGGGUGAGUAACGCGUGGGGAAUCUGCCUUUGAGCGGGGGACAACAUUUGGAAACGAAUGCUAAUACCGCAUAAAAACUUUAAACACAAGUUUUAAGUUUGAAAGAUGCAAUUGCAUCACUCAAAGAUGAUCCCGCGUUGUAUUAGCUAGUUGGUGAGGUAAAGGCUCACCAAGGCGAUGAUACAUAGCCGACCUGAGAGGGUGAUCGGCCACAUUGGGACUGAGACACGGCCCAAACUCCUACGGGAGGCAGCAGUAGGGAAUCUUCGGCAAUAGACGAAAGUCUGACCGAGCAACGCCGCGUGAGUGAAGAAGGGUUUCGGAUCGUAAAACUCGGUUGGUAGAGAAGAACGUUGGUGAGAGUGGAAAGCUCAUCAAGUGACGGUAACUACCCAGAAAGGGACGGCUAACUACGUG